CGGUGCUAUGCUCUGUGGAAGAUGAAAACAUGCUUAAAACCCGACACGCCCCCUUGUGGAGCUUACAUUAAUAAUAUCUAGCUAUAUUAAUAUUAUCUAGCUAGUAUUUACUAAGCACUAUGUCGGGAAAUGUUCUGACAUUUAUUAGAGUUCAAAAGAAUUCCAUGAGAUGAAAAAUCAAAGCUCCAAAGAUUACAUAAUAAGCCAGAGACAGAGCUGGAAGGAGAGGGUCAGAUCCCUUGACGACCUGCUUCAAAGCCCAUCAUUCUACACAGCAGGCUGAAAACUGAAGAAGACCCCCCAAGAUUGUAUAUAUCUACAAACCCUGGAUCUGCUCACUUUCUGCUUGCAAACCCAUCACCGUGGCAAGCCAUGCAGCAAAGCAGGGCUUGGACCCAUGACCCCAG
Long non-coding RNA from Mustela erminea (ermine), 407 nucleotides. RefSeq lists it as uncharacterized. The transcript is spliced from 4 exons. Lineage: Eukaryota; Metazoa; Chordata; Mammalia; Carnivora; Mustelidae. The record is from RefSeq and is a predicted model, not a curated record.